RNAcentral lists this ribosomal RNA (53 nucleotides) under Krameria argentea. RNAcentral describes it as "partial 18S ribosomal RNA". Lineage: Eukaryota; Viridiplantae; Streptophyta; Magnoliopsida; Zygophyllales; Krameriaceae. The record is from RNAcentral.
GGAAGGAGAAGUCGUAACAAGGUUUUCCGUAGGUGAACCUGCGAGGAUCAUUG